Molecule: long non-coding RNA, 273 nt
Filed under: Nicotiana benthamiana
Lineage: Eukaryota; Viridiplantae; Streptophyta; Magnoliopsida; Solanales; Solanaceae
Description: long non-coding RNA (NBEN_LNC018714)
Source: RNAcentral
AUCAUUUCAUUUUCUGUUUAAUAAAUUCUCUCUCUAUUCUAGAGAGUUCUCAAACGCUCCUCCUUCUCUCCAGUUUCUCUCUCUAUAUUUUCCAUGAUUUCUCGGUCUAAUCUCAAUGUUUACAUGGUAUCAGAGCCUAGACAACGAUUCGACUGUGUUUAUCUAUAUCUCAUUGUCUUGGAUGAAGUCUGUUUCGAGAUUUUUGGGGGUGUUUCUGAGACCUUAUGGUCGAUGAUGAUUCCGACCUAAAUCGGAUGCUUUUCUGAGAUUUNN